This 406-nucleotide ribosomal RNA is filed under the name uncultured bacterium. RNAcentral describes it as "partial 16S ribosomal RNA". It matches the Rfam family "Bacterial small subunit ribosomal RNA", at positions 30 to 526 of the family's 1533-position model. The record is from RNAcentral.
AUUGAACGCUGGCGGCAGGCCUAACACAUGCAAGUCGAACGAAUGGCGGACGGGUGAGUAAUGUCUGGGAAACUGGCUGAUCGAGCGGGCUAACGACUGGAAAAGUUAGCUAAUACUGCAUCCCAUGGUAUGUGCCCAGCUGGGAUUAGCUAGUAGGUGGGGUAAAGGCUCACCUAGGGGACGAUCCCUAGCUGGUCUGAGAGGAUGACCAGCCACACUGGAACUGAGACACGGUCCAGACUCCUACGGGAGGCAGCAGUGGGGAAUAUUGCACAAUGGGCGCAAGCCUGAUGCAGCCAUGCCGCGUGUAUGAAGAAGGCCUUCGGGUUGUAAAGUACUUUCAGCGGGGAGGCGUUACCCGCAGAAGAAGCACCGGCUAACUCCGUGCCAGCAGCCGCGGUAAUUC